AACAAGGAUCCACCUCGAACCUCCCUACUCUCUCAACCUGAUUUCGCUUUCUUACAUGCGAUUUAUGUAAGUAAAAUUCUGAUAUUCCAUCAUCUUUCUUUGUUGGUGCAGUGAGCUGAGUUAAGAAGCCUUUGGGUUUGUUAUUUGUGAAUAAUUUAUGAGGGAAGAAGACUCAAAUUGGUUCUCCAGAUGGGAGGAAGAGCUGCCAUCCCCAGAGGAGCUUAUGCCUUUUUCCCAAUCCCUAAUUACUCCUGAUCUUGCUCUGGCCUUCGAUAUCCGUAACCCCGACCAUGCCCAGCUUCAACAGCCGCCCCCUCCUUCUCAACCAUCCUUAUCCGAAUUCGCUGCCGAUUCCGGUGACUUGGGAUCCGGGGAAGCCGGAGAUGAGCCGGCACGCACUCUCAAGCGGCCUCGUCUCGUGUGGACCCCACAGCUCCACAAGAGAUUCGUUGACGCCGUGGCUCAUUUGGGGAUCAAGAACGCUGUCCCCAAGACUAUAAUGCAGUUGAUGAGUGUUGAUGGCUUGACGAGAGAAAACGUUGCUAGUCAUUUGCAGAAGUAUCGCCUCUAUUUGAAGAGAGUGCAAGGCUUAUCUGGUGGUAGUGGAGGCGGUGCCAAUGGUGGAUCUGGGGGUGCCGGAUUAGGGGCUUCGGCUGAUCCAGCGACGGACCGUUUGUUUGCAAGCUCACCGGUUCCACCACACUUUCUUCAUCCUGGUAGGACUAAUUCCGAACAUUUAUUACCCUCCGUACCAGUGCCGGCCAUGCAGCAUCACCAUCAUCACCAACAACAGCAAAUGGUGGCAGCCGCGGUAGGACAUCCUCAUUUGCAGUCUCAGUAUCAUAGGCCACAAAUGGGGCAUUACGGGCCAUCUCGAAAUAGCCAAUUUGAGCAUCCCUUCUUAGGCAGGCAGACACAGCAGCCAAUGCAUAGGAUUGGAGGGACGCCCGUGCAUAAUCAAGCUCCUAGUAGUUAUGUGGAAGAUUUGGAAUCUGCCAAUGGGAAUGGUGGAAGGAAGGUUCUUACAUUAUUUCCUACUGGGGAUGAUUGAUUCAAAACUAUGUGAAGUGUUACGGUUGCCUUUGUGGGAAAGACUGAAGUCAAAGAGGCCCAAAAGGUGCUUCAAACUCUACUAAGAUAUAUCUGGAGUCAACUCUGGAUUAUACAUCAAGUGGCAUUGUGGGCUAAAACUUUCAGACUUCCAUCCAAGAGUUCGAUAGUUUGAUUUUAUAGCUAUAUGGUCUCGUUCAAUGUUUUAACAUCUUGCACAGUAUGAUAUUGUGCUGAAUGGCAUUUGUAAUUUGAUAUUUGCACUUGUGAUCUGGUGGCGAUGUACUGCUAGGUUUUUAUGGUAGGGUGACUGUUAGUGUUCUCUAGGGGAUCUAGUAUUGCAAAAGGUUUGGAUGUCUGUUUGCUUUUCCGAAAUUACGCAUGCCAUGGAUGACUUGGAUAAAUAAAGUGUAAUUUUAGUUUCGGGUUUAGUUUUCUGUUUAA
Molecule: RNA transcript, 1494 nt
Organism: Hibiscus syriacus
Lineage: Eukaryota; Viridiplantae; Streptophyta; Magnoliopsida; Malvales; Malvaceae
Gene name: transcription factor MYBC1-like
Exons: 3
Source: RefSeq, a predicted model, not a curated record